RNAcentral lists this long non-coding RNA (1783 nucleotides) under Zostera marina. RNAcentral describes it as "long non-coding RNA (ZMAR_LNC001320)". Lineage: Eukaryota; Viridiplantae; Streptophyta; Magnoliopsida; Alismatales; Zosteraceae. The record is from RNAcentral.
UUAGAUAGUAUAUUAGUUAGGAUUAUCAGUUAGUUGUUGUUAAUUAGAAUAUUAUAUAAACUCUUGUAAUUAACAGAUGAUUCAUUGAAUCGAGUUUCAUUUUUCCCAAAUGAGUUUUGCUUUCACAGAUGAUUCCAAGAUGGUAUCAGAUGAUUCUGUGAAAGGUGAAAAUAACGCGAUUUCUUUCCGACGAUUUUUGUGAAGAACGACGCGUCCAGAUUGCCGCGAGUCUUCCAGAUCGCAAGGCUUCCAGUUCGCUGCAGACCAACGCAUUUUGCGAGUCUUCCAGAUCGUUCCAGUCACUGCAGAUCGCUCCGAUCUCUGAUUUCAUACGCACUUCCAGAUUGUUGGUUGCAGACGGAUGCGGAUUCUGAUUUCCAGAUCGCAAUAGUCGUUUGGUGAAGGAAAUCGUCGACUGCAACCGAUUUUCGCAAUCGUGGAUUGCCUGCACGCAAUUUCGGUUUGCACAUUUCGAUUUAUUUCUUUAUUUUUUUCAUUUCCAUUUCGAUUUCAUCUGCUGCGAUAGUUCAUUUGCGAUUUCUGCUACGAUAGUUUAUUUUUUUUAUUAUUUCUUUGAUUCGUGGUUUAUAGUUGGCGAUUAUGAUUGAAAUAGAAUUUCUGUAUUCAAUUUCUGUAUUCAAUUAUGAUUGAAAUCGAUUAUUUCGGAUUAUGAUUAAGAUCAAAAAAAAUUCUGUAUUCAAUUGCGAUUUCACUGUUCAUUAAUUUGAUGAUUUCAUUUUUUAUCAAUUACGAUUUAUCAAUCGAUUUUUUUGAUUUGUUUGCAAUUUAUAGUGUGAUUUCAAUUUGAAAUUUUGUGUUCUCAGUUUGAUUUGCAUAGACAUUUCAAUUUUAGUUUCUGAAUUUUUUUUUUCUUUUAAAAUUUUUUUUUCUGAAAUUUUUUUUUGUUGAUACUACCAGAUUUCAUUUUGUUGAAAUUUUGUAUCAUAUAGUAUUGAUUAAAUUUUAUUCGGUUUUGUGAUUUCAUUUUGUAUCGAUUAAAUUUAAUAUUCCAUCAUUUUUUUUAUUAUCGAUUUCAUAUUUUCGAAAAUAAAACAGUUAACGAAUUUCGUAUUUUUUUUCUAUUGUUUCUAAAAUUUGUAUAAGUUUACACUAUUUUUUCUGUUAUUUUACACUAUUUCCUAGUAAUAAAAUAGUGUUAUCUUAAUUUUUUUUCUGUAAAUUUCUUUCGGGAAAUUUAUUGUAAAUUUUACACUAAAUUCGUAAAUUUACGUUAAGUAAUUAUGGAUUUCAUAUACUAAGUUUUUUUUUUGCAAUCUAGUUACGAUCGUAUUUCUUAUGGAUCUCUGAUAUGUAUAAAUUUAUAGAUCAUAUAUAAAUUUACAGAUUGUGUUUCGUCGACUCGGCCAAGAUGAGUACGUCAUCAUUACAUUCGUUGUACAUAUUUUAAGUUAUAAACUGGAUCCGAAAUCAAUUGGAACGGCCAGAGACCUACCUGUUCUGACAUGCCCAAUUUGAGAAUUUGUUGCGUCUAUAUCGGCUGACUGAUUUUGUGAAAAAAUAUCAAAUCAUACCAAAGGAAAAAUUGGAUGAUGGAUCGACGAAUCCAAGAUUUGAAAAAUGAAAAGAAAAGAACUGGGUAGUCCUCGACUGGAUACAAGCAUCUGUUGGUCCUCCGAUGUAUUCACUUGUUAUGAACCAUGAAUUAUGACGAGUUGCUCGAGAGUGAGAACAAGGGAUGGAGACAAAUGAUUUAGAAUGAUUAAGACUGAAUGUGAUUAUCUCCAAAAUGUGUGAUUUAUAUUUGUAGUUCAUCUUUAUUUAU